This 292-nucleotide ribosomal RNA is filed under the name uncultured bacterium. RNAcentral describes it as "partial 16S ribosomal RNA". It matches the Rfam family "Bacterial small subunit ribosomal RNA", at positions 505 to 796 of the family's 1533-position model. The record is from RNAcentral.
GUGUCAGCAGCCGCGGUAAUACGGAGGGUGCGAGCGUUGUCCGGAAUCACUGGGCGUAAAGGGCGCGUAGGCGGUUCGUUAAGUCGUUGGUGAAAUCCCGGGGCUCAACUCCGGGGCGGCCGGCGAGACUGGCGGGCUCGAGCACGGUAGAGGCAGAUGGAAUUCCCGGUGUAGCGGUGGAAUGCGUAGAUAUCGGGAAGAACACCAGUGGCGAAGGCGUUCUGCUGGGCCGUUGCUGACGCUGAGGCGCGACAGCGUGGGGAGCAAACAGGAUUAGAAACCCCCGUAGUCC